RNAcentral lists this ribosomal RNA (685 nucleotides) under uncultured Bacteroidales bacterium. RNAcentral describes it as "bacterial SSU rRNA". It matches the Rfam family "Bacterial small subunit ribosomal RNA", at positions 68 to 743 of the family's 1533-position model. The record is from RNAcentral. Lineage: Bacteria; Pseudomonadati; Bacteroidota; Bacteroidia; Bacteroidales.
GGCAGCAUGGUCUUAGCUUGCUAAGGCCGAUGGCGACCGGCGCACGGGUGAGUAACACGUAUCCAACCUGCCGUCUACUCUUGAACAGCCUUCUGAAAGGAAGAUUAAUACAAGAUGGCAUCAUGAGUCCGCAUGUUCACAUGAUUAAAGGUAUUCCGGUAGACGAUGGGGAUGCGUUCCAUUAGAUAGUAGGCGGGGUAACGGCCCACCUAGUCUUCGAUGGAUAGGGGUUCUGAGAGGAAGGUCCCCCACAUUGGAACUGAGACACGGUCCAAACUCCUACGGGAGGCAGCAGUGAGGAAUAUUGGUCAAUGGGCGAGAGCCUGAACCAGCCAAGUAGCGUGAAGGAUGACUGCCCUAUGGGUUGUAAACUUCUUUUAUAAAGGAAUAAAGUCGGGUAUGGAUACCCGUUUGCAUGUACUUUAUGAAUAAGGAUCGGCUAACUCCGUGCCAGCAGCCGCGGUAAUACGGAGGAUCCGAGCGUUAUCCGGAUUUAUUGGGUUUAAAGGGAGCGUAGAUGGAUGUUUAAGUCAGUUGUGAAAGUUUGCGGCUCAACCGUAAAAUUGCAGUUGAUACUGGAUAUCUUGAGUGCAGUUGAGGCAGGCGGAAUUCGUGGUGUAGCGGUGAAAUGCUUAGAUAUCACGAAGACUCCGAUUGCGAAGGCAGCCUGCUAAGCUGCAACUGA